Molecule: ribosomal RNA, 468 nt
Filed under: uncultured bacterium
Lineage: Bacteria
Description: partial 16S ribosomal RNA
Rfam family: Bacterial small subunit ribosomal RNA
Source: RNAcentral
GACGAACGCUGGCGGCGUGCUUAACACAUGCAAGUCGAACGGAAAGGCCCUGCUUUUGUGGGGUGCUCGAGUGGCGAACGGGUGAGUAACACGUGAGUAACCUGCCCUUGACUUUGGGAUAACUUCAGGAAACUGGGGCUAAUACCGGAUAGGAGCUCCUGCUGCAUGGUGGGGGUUGGAAAGUUUCGGCGGUUGGGGAUGGACUCGCGGCUUAUCAGCUUGUUGGUGGGGUAGUGGCUUACCAAGGCUUUGACGGGUAGCCGGCCUGAGAGGGUGACCGGCCACAUUGGGACUGAGAGACGGCCCAGACUCCUACGGGAGGCAGCAGUGGGGAAUAUGGCUCAAUGGGCGGAAGCCUGAUGCAGCAACGCCGCGUGCGGGAUGACGGCCUUCGGGUUGUAAACCGCUUUCGCCUGUGACGAAGCGUGAGUGACGGUAAUGGGUAAAGAAGCACCGGCUAACUACGUG